UUCGCUCGAUUCUUUUGCUCUCAUUUGCGCCGAUGCCCUUUCUUCUCCAUCGCGACACCCUUUUCCCCGACGCCGGAGCCACGAGGAAAUCAAUCGCGCCUCCCUUUCUCUACACCGACCCCCAUCCUUGUCGCUUUGCCGAUCGCCGAACUUCUGUGCGCCCCGGCUACUCUCCGAUCUUGAGCAAGAAGUUUUCUUGAUCUCCAUCUCUGCCGCGCCAACCACCGCCUGACACCAUCGCUCGAUUGCACCGGCAUCACUCGACUGUUGCCACCCUUUUUUCUAGAGUAUUUCCGAGCCGUGCCCUAGCGACCAGCGCCAAUGCCGACUCAUGAUCCACCGACGCUUACUCUCGACUCACUGUUUCCGUGCCCUACUCAUCCACCUUUGUUUCUCCUUGCCGUUGGUCGAAUCACCAUCGCAUCUUCACUGCCGCUCCAUCAUCUGGUCGCUGCGAGCACAGGCGUUGUCACCCCUUUGACGAUGCCAAUUCCAGCCGUCAUCAUUCCUUCUCUGUCCUGGCUUGACAUUACGGUAGCUAUUAUCAAGCCUUCUUUCAUUUCCGAUCUCGGCGACCAUUACUAUUGUCAAUGUGGUACUACAACAACAACCACCAGCGAGCAAUCGUGGCCAACAUUGUAACUGGUCGAGCUCUCCCUCUUCCCGAACCAUCACCGACUCAUCCUCUUGCUGCUAUGCCCUAAACUCCCUUCAGUACUUUCUCCAGAUUCAGAGAGGGACGAGCAUCAGAGGCAUCCUCACUUCAGAUUCAGAGAGAAGAGCUCUGUUUCCAUUAUAGCAGCACUUAGAUUCCAUCCUAGAGGAAUUUUGAAUAUGAUUCGAGAUUGUUAAGUUAGCAAGGGAAGGAGGUAGUGGAUAGUAGAAGAUCGUCACCAUUGGCUGUAAGACACUUCCAGUGCUACCUUGUUGCCAAAUUUAGGGACUUUGAUUCGAGAGAAGCAUCCCGAUGUGGGAUUAUUUAUUACGAUCGAUAGAUAAAGACGGGUAACAGGUAAAGGAUUUAUAGAGUCGCCUGGAGGUCCUGUCCGCCAUCCCCACGUCACAUUCGAGGACGAUCUUAUGGUUUUGGCAUCAAAAGGGUCAUGGACCUGAUUAAAUCAGACCACAUUUGGACUCAAAUCUAGGGCUAAACAAGGCGAUCAAGCUUUGAAUCGAUUUGGACCGUCCAUUGAAGAUUGGAGAGAUCUGAGUCAUCCGUCAAGCAUUUGGUCCAUCCGACCUAAUGGGGAGUAGAUCUGGAUCGUAGAUGAAGAUCAAUACUGUUGGAUCGGAUUUUAGGCUAUUUUCCAUUGUUGAUCAAGCUAGGAGAGUUCUGGACCAUUGGAUCAAAUUUGAGGAGGAUUUAAAUGCCGUGAGGAACUACAGUGCAGAUUGGGCUCGGCUUCCACGCGAUUUCUUCACUGUAGCUUCUUCUUCUCCACCGCGACGCCGAAGUCCUCGUUCCAAAUUCCAGAUCCAGUUCUUCUCCUUCUUCAACGAGGACGAUCUCCGAGCUUCUGGCGUCCAUCUCCCGAGAUCAGUGAGUGCUAGAGGGAGGUUUCACGGCGUGAUUUUGGAUUUGUUCACUACCGCGAUCCUGAAAGAGGGAGGUUUCUCGAUCAGCGAUCUCCGCGUCCACCAGAGCUUUGAGGGAGGUUUCUUGGAGUUUCUGAUCUUCUUUCCGAUCAUCAUUUCAUAGCAAGGCUAGCUUGAUCUGAUCAAUCAAGUUGGUUUACGAAUCACAGAUUCAUCCUCUGUUCUUCGGCUGAAUGGGAUUACCAGUCGGAUUUGAGCUUGAGGGGAGGUUUCCAAGAGCUAUAAACACCACUUGGUAAUAGUUGGGAGCUAGAGAUUAGUAAUUGGGUGCUUGAUGGGAGGUCUCAGAUAGUAUCUCUGCUUCACGGCAGAUUGUUGAGGUUUGAACUUGGAGAUGGUUGUGGAAUGUUAUUGGUUUCUAUUUUCUUUCGAUUUCAUACACCUUUGCUAUGAUCUUUAGAUCUGACAGGUUAGAUUGCAAUUCCCGUUUGAUUUCUUAGCUCGCUAUCAAUUUCCUUCAGAUUUCUGUAAUCCACAUCCAGUUAGCAUACUUCCUAUUUUUGUAAUUUGAUUUUGAUUCCUUAGCAUUUGCAUUCUGAAUGUGUUCAACUUCUGGCAAUCCGAAUCUUGUUUAGCUAUGUGAUUAGUUAGUAAUCUAGUUUUUGUCUUGAAUUCCAUGUGUCGGUUUAUACUAACUAGUAUUUAGUUUUAAUCCUUGAAUGUGUGAUCAAACUCUUGAUUUAGAUAUCAGAUUUUAAUGACUGUGAUUGAGUUUGAAUGUUGAAUGAAUCACUUAAUUUCCUGAUUGUUUACCUCUGUUUAAUUUUGUUGAUUGUGGGAAUGAAUUGAAGAUUUGGUGAUCAAAUUAAUUAUUAAAUUAAUUGUGAUUGUGAAUUGGAUGCUAUUUCAGUUUCUAGAAGUGUAUGUGGCUGAAGAGAAAUGCCUAAUAGACCUUGUAAUAAUAGAAUUCAAUUUGAAUCAAUAUUAGAAUUUGCACACAUUAAUUAGUUACCCUUGGAAAAAUAUGACUUGAGACUCGUUGCUACAACACUUGUCUUAAUUUUAAUGAGUUUCAAUUAUAAUUAAUUUGGAGCGCCUCGUGACAUGCAAAAAGGCCGACACCAAAUUUU
Long non-coding RNA from Zingiber officinale, 2666 nucleotides. RefSeq lists it as uncharacterized. NCBI's taxonomy places the organism in Eukaryota, Viridiplantae, Streptophyta, Magnoliopsida, Zingiberales, Zingiberaceae. The record is from RefSeq and is a predicted model, not a curated record. The transcript is spliced from 5 exons.